UUCUUAUCCAGAGAGGCGGAGGGACUGGCCCUUUGAUGCCCGGCAACCAUCGAGUCGAUGAAUACAAUUGACAAGAACGGUGCCAAUUCCUGCAGGAACAAUAUGUUCUUGGAAGAUGAGAG
RNAcentral lists this non-coding RNA (122 nucleotides) under Pontibacillus chungwhensis. RNAcentral describes it as "SAM-I sequence". It matches the Rfam family "SAM riboswitch aptamer (S box leader)". From Rfam's summary of the family: The SAM riboswitch is found upstream of a number of genes which code for proteins involved in methionine or cysteine biosynthesis in Gram-positive bacteria. RNAcentral also lists the same sequence under 1 other name. Lineage: Bacteria; Bacillati; Bacillota; Bacilli; Caryophanales; Bacillaceae. The record is from RNAcentral.